ACUAAAAUUUUGUGUGUGAAUCAAUAAGGAAUCAAGAGAGAGAAAUCAGUUUAUUGAAUUAAAGAAUCUCUCUUAAUUAUUAUCAUUACUCAAACAAACUCUACAUCAUAUACGCUUUCUAAGUAUGUGAAAAUUUAAUUUAUUCAAAAAUCAUUGUUAAGGUGAUAAUUAAAUUUUAUAUUUUUUAUUUACAUUAUAUUUAUGAUUAUUAUGAUCUAUUAAGAAUUUUACAUGUGUACAUUUAUAUUACCAAUAUUACUCUCACAAUUCAAAUAUUAAUGCCUCAUAACAAUUAUAUGGCGCUUCAAGCUCAUGGUUAAUUAGUUAUAUACCCAUUUAACUAGUGAUAGAGGUGAUAUUUUAAAUCAUCAGUAAUUUGUUUAAAUUCGCACCCAAUUCAAAUAAAUACUCAAAAUUGAGGAUUAAUCUAAUAAUUUGUAUGACUUGAUUGACCCUUCGUUUCGAUCAACUCUAAUUUUGAUUAAAAAUUAAAUGACUUGAAAUAUUUUUUAAUGAAAAUUAACAUUUUGAUUAAUAUUAACAUUUCGAUAUGAAAUAACCCGCAAGCAUCAACCCCUUUAAAUCCACAUUCAAUUUCAAAUGAUUUAAAUCCAAAUAAUUUGUAAAACUAAGAGCCAACUCUAUUAUUUGACUCAAAAUUGACAUAUUUUAAGUUGAUCUAAUCAAUCUGAA
This 693-nucleotide unclassified non-coding RNA is filed under the name Hevea brasiliensis (rubber tree). The record is from RNAcentral. Lineage: Eukaryota; Viridiplantae; Streptophyta; Magnoliopsida; Malpighiales; Euphorbiaceae.